UUUAGCAUGAAGUCAGACAAGAGA
This 24-nucleotide ribosomal RNA is filed under the name Symbiodinium sp. Its description in RNAcentral is "partial 24S large subunit ribosomal RNA". The record is from RNAcentral. Lineage: Eukaryota; Dinophyceae; Suessiales; Symbiodiniaceae.